CUAACACUGGUUCCUGUACGAUCACCAAAGUUAACCAACAUUGAGCCUGGUCAGUAUCUACAUGGGUGACCAUUUGGGAAUACCAGGUUCUGUA
Non-coding RNA from Acanthosepion pharaonis, 94 nucleotides. NCBI's taxonomy places the organism in Eukaryota, Metazoa, Mollusca, Cephalopoda, Sepiida, Sepiidae. The record is from the annotation of a GenBank genome assembly.